This 253-nucleotide ribosomal RNA is filed under the name uncultured bacterium. Its description in RNAcentral is "partial 16S ribosomal RNA". It matches the Rfam family "Bacterial small subunit ribosomal RNA", at positions 524 to 776 of the family's 1533-position model. The record is from RNAcentral.
UACGGGGGGGGCAAGCGUUGUUCGGAAUUACUGGGCGUAAAGCGCACGUAGGCGGUUAUUUAAGUCAGGGGUGAAAUCCCGGGGCUCAACCCCGGAACUGCCUUUGAUACUGGGUAUCUCGAGUCCGAGAGAGGUGAGUGGAAUUCCGAGUGUAGAGGUGAAAUUCGUAGAUAUUCGGAGGAACACCAGUGGCGAAGGCGGCUCACUGGCUCGGUACUGACGCUGAGACGCGAAAGCGUGGGGAGCAAACAGG